RNAcentral lists this ribosomal RNA (576 nucleotides) under uncultured Butyricimonas sp. RNAcentral describes it as "bacterial SSU rRNA". It matches the Rfam family "Bacterial small subunit ribosomal RNA", at positions 916 to 1501 of the family's 1533-position model. Lineage: Bacteria; Pseudomonadati; Bacteroidota; Bacteroidia; Bacteroidales; Odoribacteraceae. The record is from RNAcentral.
GGGGCCCGCACAAGCGGAGGAACAUGUGGUUUAAUUCGAUGAUACGCGAGGAACCUUACCUGGGUUUAAAUGUAGAUUGCAUUUUUUGGAAACAGAAAUUCUCUUCGGAGCUAUUUACAAGGUGCUGCAUGGUUGUCGUCAGCUCGUGCCGUGAGGUGUCGGGUUAAGUCCCAUAACGAGCGCAACCCCUAUUUUCAGUUGCCAUCAGAUAAUGCUGGGCACUCUGGAGAGACUGCCACCGUAAGGUGAGAGGAAGGCGGGGAUGACGUCAAAUCAGCACGGCCCUUACACCCAGGGCUACACACGUGUUACAAUGGCUGGUACAGAGGGUAGCUACUUAGUGAUAAGAUGCGAAUCUCUAAAGCCAGUCGUAGUUCGGAUUGGAGUCUGCAACUCGACUCCAUGAAGUUGGAUUCGCUAGUAAUCGCGCAUCAGCAAUGGCGCGGUGAAUACGUUCCCGGGCCUUGUACACACCGCCCGUCAAGCCAUGGAAGCAGGGGGUGCCUGAAGUUCGUAACCGCAAGGAACGACCUAGGGCAAAACUUGUAACUGGGGCUAAGUCGUAACAAGGUAACC